Molecule: ribosomal RNA, 465 nt
Filed under: uncultured bacterium
Lineage: Bacteria
Description: partial 16S ribosomal RNA
Rfam family: Bacterial small subunit ribosomal RNA
Source: RNAcentral
CCUACGGGGUGCAGCAGUGGGGAAUUUUGCGCAAUGCUCGUAAGAGUGACGCAGCGACGCCGCGUGAAUGACGAAGGCCUUCGGGUCGUAAAGUUCUUUCGACAGGGAAGAAAAUGCCUAGAAGUAACUGGGUACGUAUUUACGGUACCUGUAUAAGCAGCCCCGGCUAACUCCGUGCCAGCAGACGCGGUAAUACGGAGGGGGCGAGCGGUGUUCGGAGUGACUGGGCGUAAAGAGCACGUAGGCGGUGUUGUAAGUCAUUAGUCAAAGACUAGAGCUCAACUUUCGUACGGCUAGUGAUACUAUAAUACUAGAGUAUCAGAGAGGAUUGCAGAAUGCCUGGUGUAGCGGUGAAAUGCGUAGAUAUCAGGAGGAAUACCGUUAGCGAAGGCAGCGAUCUGGCUGGAAACUGACGCUGAGGUGCGAAAGCGUGGGUAGCAAACAGGAUUAGAUACCCCUGUAGUC